CCUACGGGAGGCAGCAGUGGGGAAUAUUGGGCAAUGGGGGCAAGCCUGACCCAGCAACGCCGCGUGAAGGAAGAAGGCUUUCGGGUUGUAAACUUCUUUUAAUAGGGAAGAGCAGAAGACGGUACCUCUUUCAUCAGCCACGGCUCACUACGGGCCAGCAGCCGCGGUAAUACGUAGGUGGCAAGCGUUGUCCGGAUUUACUGGGUGUAAAGGGCGUGUAGCCGGGCUGACAAGUCAGAUGUGAAAUCCCGUGGCUCAACCACGGAACUGCAUUUGAAACUGUCGGUCUUGAGUAUCGGAGAGGCAGGCGGAAUUCCUAGUGUAGCGGUGAAAUGCGUAGAUAUUAGGAGGAACACCAGUGGCGAAGGCGGCCUGCUGGACGACAACUGACGGUGAGGCGCGAAAGCGUGGGGAGCAAACAGGAUUAGAUACCCCAGUAGUC
RNAcentral lists this ribosomal RNA (442 nucleotides) under uncultured bacterium. RNAcentral's name for it is "partial 16S ribosomal RNA". It matches the Rfam family "Bacterial small subunit ribosomal RNA", at positions 338 to 795 of the family's 1533-position model. The record is from RNAcentral.